This 704-nucleotide long non-coding RNA is filed under the name Struthio camelus australis. RNAcentral describes it as "lncRNA (ENSSCUG00000004955.1)". The record is from RNAcentral. Lineage: Eukaryota; Metazoa; Chordata; Aves; Struthioniformes; Struthionidae.
ACAUAAAGCUGCUCUGUUCUUUGUUUGCUGGUUUUGACUGAAAACUCCUCCUGUGCUGUGUAAAUAAGAGCUGGUUGGGAAGUGAAGAAGGGAGCCCCUCCAAAGAGCAUCUCCGGGUGCAGCUGUGCCCGCAGGAGUCGCUGCGAGGACGCGGGGUGCCCGGCUGGCAGUGACGAGUCCAUCCACACUCUGCUCCCAACACGCUCCUGCUCCAAGGGUAACGGGCUUUCCCCAGCUGGAUUUAUCGGAGACACUGGACCCUUCUUCCUGAGCAAAUUAGGCUUUGGAGAUGCAGGACAGCAGGGGACAUGUCUCUGGAAAUGCUGCUGGAGGGACCUGGAGCGAGGAGGGAGAGCAGGUCCCUGUGGCUGGAGAUGGGGGAACGAGGAGGGAAGCGCCCAGUCGGGACCAACGCGCCUCUGCAUCUUGCUGCCGAACUCGGCCGGAGACUCGAUGUUCGAGAAGCGGAGCGACCUUUGCUGCGCCCCAGCUGCUGCUGGCGAGCUCAGCUUGCAGUACCCAGUGAGGUUUGUUUGCUGCUCGGAUACUGUGGCAAUGGCUUGGAGCUGUAAAAGACCCUCCCCUGCAUUGAAGCUAUUUCAAAAGCAUCCUAUGGUUAUGGUCUCAUGCAGAAGAGAAACCCCGGUGAGGUUCACAAGCAUUUGUGUCAGCUGGGUGGCUGGUUUCGUAUGGAGUAAGGCUGC